Molecule: transfer RNA, 71 nt
Filed under: Loxodonta africana (African savanna elephant)
Lineage: Eukaryota; Metazoa; Chordata; Mammalia; Proboscidea; Elephantidae
Rfam family: tRNA
About the family: Transfer RNA (tRNA) molecules are approximately 80 nucleotides in length.
Source: Rfam by way of RNAcentral
GCAGUGGUGGUUCAGUGGUAGAAUCCUUGCCUUCUAUGCAGGAGACAAGAGUUUGAUUCCCAGCCAAUGCA